This 335-nucleotide unclassified non-coding RNA is filed under the name soil metagenome. RNAcentral describes it as "partial contains 5.8S ribosomal RNA, internal transcribed spacer 2, and large subunit ribosomal RNA". The stretch from base 1 to 120 matches the Rfam family "5.8S ribosomal RNA", at positions 35 to 154 of the family's 154-position model. The record is from RNAcentral.
GAUGAAGAACGUAGCGAAAUGCGAUAAGUAAUGCGAAUUGCAGAUUUCAGUGAGUCAUCGAAUCUUUGAACGCACAUUGCGCCCGCCAGUAUUCUGGCGGGCAUGCCUGUUCGAGCGUCAUUUCAACCAUCAAGCCCCCGGGCUUGCGUUGGGGCCCUGCGGCUGCCGCAGGCCCCUAAAAGCAGUGGCGGGCUCGCUGUCACACCGAGCGCAGUAGCGAUAUUCGCUCCGGGCGUCGGCGGCGGGCACCGGCCAUGAAACCCCCCAUUUCUCAAGGUUGACCUCGGAUCAGGUAGGAAUACCCGCUGAACUUAAGCAUAUCAAUAAGCGGAGGA